GAUGAACGCUGGCGGCGUGCCUAAUACAUGCAAGUCGAGCGAACAGACGAGGAGCUUGCUCCUCUGACGUUAGCGGCGGACGGGUGAGUAACACGUGGAUAACCUACCUAUAAGACUGGGAUAACUUCGGGAAACCGGAGCUAAUACCGGAUAAUAUAUUGAACCGCAUGGUUCAAUAGUGAAAGACGGUUUUGCUGUCACUUAUAGAUGGAUCCGCGCCGCAUUAGCUAGUUGGUAAGGUAACGGCUUACCAAGGCAACGAUGCGUAGCCGACCUGAGAGGGUGAUCGGCCACCCUGGAACUGAGACCCGUCCCAAACCCCUACGGGAGGCAGCAGUAGGGAAUCUUCCGCAAUGGGCGAAAGCCUGACGGAGCAACGCCGCGUGAGUGAUGAAGGUCUUCGGAUCGUAAAACUCUGUUAUUAGGGAAGAACAAAUGUGUAAGUAACGAUGCACGUCUUGACGGUACCAAAUCAGAAAGCCACGGCUAACUACGU
This 496-nucleotide ribosomal RNA is filed under the name uncultured bacterium. Its description in RNAcentral is "partial 16S ribosomal RNA". It matches the Rfam family "Bacterial small subunit ribosomal RNA", at positions 28 to 506 of the family's 1533-position model. The record is from RNAcentral.